GAAAAUGAUGAUAUGCUUGUCGCCCCAGUCUUACGCACACUUUGUGAUGUUGCAUGGUGACUAACAUUUCUAUCUGAUUU
This 80-nucleotide small nucleolar RNA is filed under the name Amborella trichopoda. RNAcentral describes it as "snoRNA snoU31b". It matches the Rfam family "Small nucleolar RNA U31b". Lineage: Eukaryota; Viridiplantae; Streptophyta; Magnoliopsida; Amborellales; Amborellaceae. The record is from Rfam by way of RNAcentral.